Molecule: non-coding RNA, 128 nt
Organism: Ustulina deusta
Lineage: Eukaryota; Fungi; Ascomycota; Sordariomycetes; Xylariales; Xylariaceae
Source: the annotation of a GenBank genome assembly
GCCCGGUUAGCUCAAUCGGUAGAGCGUGAGACUCUUAAUCUCAAGGUUGCGGGUGAGCAUCUCGAUCAGAAGACAAAAUCUACAUGACAAUACUAAUCCGAACAUAGGUUCGACCCCCGCAUCGGGCU